This 400-nucleotide ribosomal RNA is filed under the name uncultured bacterium. Its description in RNAcentral is "bacterial SSU rRNA". It matches the Rfam family "Bacterial small subunit ribosomal RNA", at positions 358 to 774 of the family's 1533-position model. The record is from RNAcentral.
GGAAUAUUGCACAAUGGGGGAAACCCUGAUGCAGCAACGCCGCGUGAGUGAAGAAGUAUUUCGGUAUGUAAAGCUCUAUCAGCAGGGAAGAAGAAGGACGGUACCUGACUAAGAAGCCCCGGCUAACUACGUGCCAGCAGCCGCGGUAAUACGUAGGGGGCGAGCGUUAUCCGGAUUUACUGGGUGUAAAGGGAGCGUAGACGGUUUUUCAAGUCUGAAGUGAAAGCCCGCGGCUCAACUGCGGAACGGCUUUGGAAACUGAGGGACUAGAGUGCUGGAGGGGCAGGCGGAAUUCCUGGUGUAGCGGUGAAAUGCGUAGAUAUUAGGAGGAACACCGGCGGCGAAGGCGGCCCACUGGACUGUAACUGACGUUGAGGCUCGAAAGCGUGGGGAGCAAACA